CGCCGUGUAGCUCAGUGGUCCGAGCAGAUGCCUUAUAAGCGUCCGGAUCGGGUUCGAUCCCCGACACGGCAACCA
Molecule: transfer RNA, 75 nt
Filed under: Acidobacteriota bacterium
Lineage: Bacteria; Pseudomonadati; Acidobacteriota
Also listed under: 1 other name
Description: Acidobacteria bacterium tRNA-Ile
Rfam family: tRNA
About the family: Transfer RNA (tRNA) molecules are approximately 80 nucleotides in length. Their secondary structure includes four short double-helical elements and three loops (D, anti-codon, and T loops). Further hydrogen bonds mediate the characteristic L-shaped molecular structure. tRNAs have two regions of fundamental functional importance: the anti-codon, which is responsible for specific mRNA codon recognition, and the 3' end, to which the tRNAs corresponding amino acid is attached (by aminoacyl-tRNA synthetases). tRNAs cope with the degeneracy of the genetic code in two manners: having more than one tRNA (with a specific anti-codon) for a particular amino acid; and 'wobble' base-pairing, i.e. permitting non-standard base-pairing at the 3rd anti-codon position.
Source: RNAcentral